Molecule: long non-coding RNA, 1508 nt
Organism: Patella vulgata (common limpet)
Lineage: Eukaryota; Metazoa; Mollusca; Gastropoda; Patellidae
Exons: 4
Source: RefSeq, a predicted model, not a curated record
CUUCAGAAAAGAUAAAUGGGUCAAAGUCGUAGGUCAAGGUCAUGUUACAGAAAACUGAACUCAAACUUUUCAAGUUCCUACGACCACGGGAACUGGUAGAGGUACGAAAGUGCAAUAGCGCCGAGCUAUGGUUGCCACUUAGCAUUUAGUGUUUAUGCCGGCCGACUAACGGUUCAAGAUAUUUCUUCGGUCCGGUGACGUCAAUAUGUUUCUGUCCAUUUCCAUUCGUUUAUUGGUCACGUGACCAUUUUUGGAGAGUUCGGAUCGUCCAACCUCUCCAAUUUUUCGACCGGUGCGAUUGCGGAGAGUGACGUAACAAGAUGGCGGCAAGCAACAUGUGUGAUAGUGCUCCAGGCAUUGCUUUAAAAACAGUGCAUCUAAAAAUUGGGGAACAGUUGGUAAAAUUUGAAGUUGGCCUAGAUGUUUUUGAUGCUGUGGUUCUUCGUAAAGAUGAAAAUGUUAUUAGACAGCUGGUAAUUAAUUACAACCAAUUUGCAAAGACAAAUGGAGGGAAUAAUAAUGCAGAAGCUCUUUUGGGUACAUCAGCUUGCUCUUCUGAGACUGUUGCAUGUAAUUCUAAGACACCGGUACUUGAUGCUAAUACCCCAGUACUGUCUAAAACCAGCUGUGCUUCUACUGCAUCUGAAACCAUACCUAGUUCGCGGUCAGCAGUAGUUGGAAGUGGUAACUCUGAUGGUGAAGGUCUUGCAGCACAUUGGACCAAAGCCAAUACAUUACAUCUUAUCGACUUGUAUAACAAGUAUAUCGAUAAAGUUAACAGUGGGAAAAUGCGUAAAGUGAUUCUAUGGAAGAAAAUAGCCACUGACAUUGGUAAUUUUACUGGAGAGUAAGUUAGAGGACGCUGGAAGACAAUAACAAGCGGCUAUAAACGGGUUAAAGACCAGAAGAAUAAAUCUGGAAAUGGCCGUGUGACUGAUUAUGAGUAUGAAAAAGAACUGGAUGAAACUUUCGGUGAAUCAGCAGCUAACAUAAAUCCAAUUACACUGUCAACUAUGGAUGAAGAAACAUCUGCUAUUAUGGAGGAAUCAGAUACAGAAGAUUCAUUUAUUUCCAUUCCAGAGGCCCCGAACAAAAGACCUGCCGAGAAACAUAAUUCUGAUACAGCACCAAGAAGCGUAAUUCGACCUCAGCAGCCGAGGUCAUAUCAUAUUUGCAAACCAUGGACGAGAAGGAUGAAGAAAGACAAGAACGUGAACUUCAAGCCACACAGAAAAUGCACACUGAAAAAAUGGAUUUGUUGAAAUCCAUUGUCGGAAUACUGGCAAAAAAGUGAACAUUUUUAGUUUCUAGUCAGUAGUUCAAAGUUUCUGAUUGAACACUUAAAAAUGCACAAAUAGUGUCAUCUGUGAUUUUUGUUUUAUUUUGUUUUAUUUGUUUUAUUUUGUUUUAAAUUUUUUGUUAAUACUCAUUUUACUUGUUCAUAUUUUAUUUUUUUAUAGAGUAAUUGAGAACUUACUCUUUGUAUUCAAAAGACGCCAAUUAAGAUA